GUUUGUGUUGUGUGAAUUGUUAGGGUUAUGCUCUGAUCUGCUUAGGGCUUGAAGAUUUUGAUAUACACCGUCUCUAUCUACGUAUACAGUCUUGGAACACAAAAGAAUGGCUUGAUAAGUCGAAGACCGGGUCAUCAAACCGGAAAAGCGACGAUAUCAAUUGCGGUCGCGCAUCAUCUCGACCCACAGGUGGAUCAAUGGGCUUUGAUGAGCAUCGUGACAAUUGGAAAAGGACAUAUGAUCGAGA
Helianthus annuus (common sunflower) is the source of this 247-nucleotide long non-coding RNA. RefSeq lists it as uncharacterized. Lineage: Eukaryota; Viridiplantae; Streptophyta; Magnoliopsida; Asterales; Asteraceae. The record is from RefSeq and is a predicted model, not a curated record. The transcript has 3 exons.